UACGAAGGGGGCUAGCGUUGCUCGGAAUUACUGGGCGUAAAGCGUGCGCAGGCGGUUCGUUGUGUCGGCGGUGAAAGCCCCGGGCUUAACCUGGGAAUGGCCGUCGAAACUGGCGAACUGGAGUGUGGCAGAGGGGGGUGGAAUUCCGCGUGUAGCAGUGAAAUGCGUAGAGAUGCGGAGGAACACCGAUGGCGAAGGCAGCCCCCUGGGCUGACACUGACGCUCAGGCACGAAAGCGUGGGGAGCAAACAGG
This 253-nucleotide ribosomal RNA is filed under the name uncultured bacterium. RNAcentral describes it as "partial 16S ribosomal RNA". It matches the Rfam family "Bacterial small subunit ribosomal RNA", at positions 524 to 776 of the family's 1533-position model. The record is from RNAcentral.